ACCGUAUCGGAUUACUGGGCGUAAGCGCACGCAGGCGGUCUGUCAAGUCGGAUGUGAAAUCCCCGGGCUCAACCUGGGAACUGCAUUCGAAACUGGCAGGCUAGAGUCUUGUAGAGGGGGGUAGAAUUCCAGGUGUAGCGGUGAAAUGCGUAGAGAUCUGGAGGAAUACCGGUGGCGAAGGCGGCCCCCUGGACAAAGACUGACGCUCAGGUGCGAAAGCGUGGGGAGCAAACAGGAUUAGAUACCCUGGUAGUCCACGCCGUAAACGAUGUCGGAUUGGAGGUUGUUCCCUUGAGGAGUGGCUUCCGGAGCUAACGCGUUAAUCCACACCCC
This 333-nucleotide ribosomal RNA is filed under the name Enterobacter sp. Its description in RNAcentral is "bacterial SSU rRNA". It matches the Rfam family "Bacterial small subunit ribosomal RNA", at positions 548 to 872 of the family's 1533-position model. Lineage: Bacteria; Pseudomonadati; Pseudomonadota; Gammaproteobacteria; Enterobacterales; Enterobacteriaceae. The record is from RNAcentral.